GAUGAAGAACGCAGUGAAAUGCGAUAAGUAAUGCGAAUUGCAGAAUCCGUGAGUCAUCGAAUCUUUGAACGCACAUUGCGCCCUCUGGUAUUCCGGAGGGCAUGCCUGUUCGAGCGUCAUUAUCACCCCUCAAGCCCGGCUUGUUGUUGGAUGCAGCGCUUAUCCCGCUCCUCCCAAAGAUAAUGACGGCGUCUGCGACGACUCCUGUACACUGAGCUUUCGGGCACGUACACGGCUAGAAGUCCAGACCCGGUCGCCGUCCCCCCCCGCGGGGGACACCCAUUACCACAAGGUUGACCUCGGAUCAGGUAGGAAUACCCGCUGAACUUAAGCAUAUCAAUAAGCGGAGGA
This 351-nucleotide unclassified non-coding RNA is filed under the name soil metagenome. Its description in RNAcentral is "partial contains 5.8S ribosomal RNA, internal transcribed spacer 2, and large subunit ribosomal RNA". The stretch from base 1 to 119 matches the Rfam family "5.8S ribosomal RNA", at positions 35 to 154 of the family's 154-position model. The record is from RNAcentral.